RNAcentral lists this ribosomal RNA (520 nucleotides) under Salmonella enterica subsp. enterica serovar Enteritidis. RNAcentral's name for it is "partial 23S ribosomal RNA". The stretch from base 1 to 380 matches the Rfam family "Bacterial large subunit ribosomal RNA", at positions 147 to 565 of the family's 2925-position model. The record is from RNAcentral. Lineage: Bacteria; Pseudomonadati; Pseudomonadota; Gammaproteobacteria; Enterobacterales; Enterobacteriaceae.
ACUAUCAUUAACUGAAUCCAUAGGUUAAUGAGGCGAACCGGGGGAACUGAAACAUCUAAGUACCCCGAGGAAAAGAAAUCAACCGAGAUUCCCCCAGUAGCGGCGAGCGAACGGGGAGGAGCCCAGAGCCUGAAUCAGCAUGUGUGUUAGUGGAAGCGUCUGGAAAGGCGCGCGAUACAGGGUGACAGCCCCGUACACAAAAGCGCAUGUGCUGUGAGCUCGAUGAGUAGGGCGGGACACGUGGUAUCCUGUCUGAAUAUGGGGGGACCAUCCUCCAAGGCUAAAUACUCCUGACUGACCGAUAGUGAACCAGUACCGUGAGGGAAAGGCGAAAAGAACCCCGGCGAGGGGAGUGAAAAAGAACCUGAAACCGUGUACGUACAAGCAGUGGGAGCCCCACCACCAAAGCAUUUGCUGUACCGCGUUGACGGAGCGAAGCGACGUCAAACCGAUAAAACAGCAGUGUAAAGUGAGCCGCAGGGCGCUUUGCGCGACAGCGCAAAGGCAGGCGGUUUCGCGU